This 297-nucleotide ribosomal RNA is filed under the name uncultured bacterium. Its description in RNAcentral is "partial 16S ribosomal RNA". It matches the Rfam family "Bacterial small subunit ribosomal RNA", at positions 29 to 334 of the family's 1533-position model. The record is from RNAcentral.
AAUGAACGCUGGCGGCAGGCCUAACACAUGCAAGUCGAACGGAGUUAUAUUGUAGCUUGCUAUGGUAUAACUUAGUGGCAGACGGGUGAGUAAUGUAUAGGAAUCUACCUAGUAGUACGGAAUAAUUGUUGGAAACGGCAACUAAUACCGUAUACGCCCUACGGGGAAGGAAUUAAUUGCUAUUAGAUGAGCCUAUAUUAGAUUAGCUAGUUGGUGGAGUAAUAGCCUACCAAGGACAAUGAUCUAUAGCUGAUCUGAGAGGAUGAUCAGCCACACUGGAACUGAGAUACGGUCCAG